Molecule: ribosomal RNA, 497 nt
Filed under: uncultured bacterium
Lineage: Bacteria
Description: partial 16S ribosomal RNA
Rfam family: Bacterial small subunit ribosomal RNA
Source: RNAcentral
GAUGAACGCUGGCGGCGUGCCUAAUACAUGCAAGUCAAGCGAACAGACGAGGAGCUUGCUCCUCUGACGUUAGCGGCGGACGGGUGAGUAACACGUGGAUAACCUACCUAUAAGACUGGGAUAACUUCGGGAAACCGGAGCUAAUACCGGAUAAUAUAUUGAACCGCAUGGUUCAAUAGUGAAAGACGGUUUUGCUGUCACUUAUAGAUGGAUCCGCGCCGCAUUAGCUAGUUGGUAAGGUAACGGCUUACCAAGGCGACGAUGCGUAGCCGACCUGAGAGGGUGAUCGGCCACACUGGAACUGAGACACGGUCCAGACUCCUACGGGAGGCAGCAGUAGGGAAUCUUCCGCAAUGGGCGAAAGCCUGACGGAGCAACGCCGCGUGAGUGAUGAAGGUCUUCGGAUCGUAAAACUCUGUUAUUAGGGAAGAACAAAUGUGUAAGUAACUAUGCACGUCUUAACGGUACCUAAUCAGAAAGCCACGGCUAACUACGUG